Molecule: long non-coding RNA, 1192 nt
Filed under: Daphnia magna
Lineage: Eukaryota; Metazoa; Arthropoda; Branchiopoda; Diplostraca; Daphniidae
Description: uncharacterized LOC116927254, transcript variant X1
Source: RNAcentral
AACAAAUUCCUAUAGGGAGAAGGUUAGAAAAUAUUUUGGUUGCCAAUUCCUACAAAAUUUAGUCAUUCAGUUCAACAACUUCGACGUGGGAGGUGGUUAAUUUCAUGUAUUUUGUUCGCUUUUACGGUGCCACGCGACGGUUAGCGCCAUUUUUAUGGGAUGUCAACGGAUAUUUAAAAUGUCAGGAAACGAAUAAAGUAGCUUCCGCUUGAGCUUCACAAAUGGCCGAUCACGCGAUUCGCGAUAAACGAUCCAUUCAAGAAACCGCGGAAGUGAGGGCAGCUAUCGUGGAAUAAAAUCCGGUGCCGUCAACUCGCUAUGCAAAUUUGGUGUGCCCGAAGUUGAUGCAUUCGCUGCUGCCAAAUGUUUGGAACAACAAGCCAGUGCUGGCCGGAUGAAUUGCUAACGUGGCCGACUGUUGGUUUGGUGCUAAGAAGAUUGGCUUCUCAUCGACGGAUGUUCCAUAGCUGUGCACGAGUAGUAUUCAUCUGCAACGUAGAUAUCGUCGUUUGAUAUAGCGACCUAUUCACCCACACAGCAAUUGCACAAGCAAUUUUAACCAGGUCGUUUGCUAGGUACGCCCAUAUCCGGCGGAGGAACAACGGCGAGCCAAAGUAAAGUCUCUGGUGUUCACUACUGACAGGCACGAACAGCGAAGACUGAAUGGAAUGUUUGGCGAGCGAAUCUCGUGACCCGUAACCACCUCGAUUCAAUCCUGAAUAUCCGUACGUGUUGAAUCCUGCCCCCGGAAGUAGAGUCGGCUCUACCCUGGAUCGAGAUAUUGGGGGCGAAAAAAGGUCUUUGUCGACUUGAUCUUGCUGAGCUAAGAAAAGGGGCUCUUCGAUCCAGUGUUGUCGACGGCGACGACAUGGGGGGAUAGGCACGCCUCCUACCGUGUUCAACGAGAAACAUACCGUGUUUGUCGAUAUCGUCGUCGUCGUUGUCGUCGUUUCAGUUGUCAUCCUAACGACCUAUUUCAGACGGAAACAGUCGUGAACUUGAGACUGAAACGGCAAAAUCGUUUCUACGGGACCUCGCACUCUGCUUGAAAAUUGCGCAAUCCAUCACCGGCAUCGAGACAUGUACCUGAACGUAGAUACUGUGGGAUUCCACGCAGAUCAACCGCCAAUGGGAGGCUGUCAACCAUAUUGUUCCAUCAUCGUCACCUGCUUUGCGGGAAACCGUAAUCAAC